GAUGUGAGGCUCGAACUCAGGAACUGCGAGAUCAUGACCUGAGCCGAAGUCGGACACUUAACCAGGCCUGACAUCAUUUUCAAGGGAUACUUAUCCGUAAAGCAGUCCCCUGAGGUCACAGGGCUAGAAGCUUCCUCACAGGUCCUCCUGCACUGCACUCCGGACCUCAUGUAUCUGUCAGUAUCCAGAACAAAAGUGGCAGGUUGCCUGAGGAACCAGAUAUUCACCUAGUUCUGGUAGAGAAUCCAGUUCUCUUUUCUCUAACACUUGACCUUGGGGGCAAUGAGAACCACUGUCGCAAUCUCCCUGGGCUGUUAGGUUUCCUCCAGGGCCCUGUGUCAUUAGCGGGACCCCAGGAUUGUGAGGACUGUUCACCUUAGGAGGGCAAGCUGGUGAGGAAGUGCCCAAACUACCAUUUUGAAACCUGGUUCACUUCUCCUAGAUCUGGGACCAAUCCCAAAAUACCAAAAUUGAAAGACACUUUGGUGAUUAAUACCCCUCCUCUUACAGAUGGGGAUAAAGGGGGAAUGGCCCGACCAAGGUUAAUAUUCACACUACGGAGAAAGACUGUUUGGGACCCACAAGCAUCUUUCUCAGACGUUUACCGCGUCUUGUUGUAACAUUCGCCGUGACUUAAGGGAACAAAGAAUACAACCUCACGCAUCAACGCCCUGUAUAAAGCUCCCCGUGCCUCUGUCUGGUUUGACUUCCCAUCCUAUGUGGUGGCCAUUUUCUCAUUUCACAGGCCAGGAAAGUGAGGGGGAUGAAUCCAUUUAGUUAGUAGGUGGCAAAACUCAACUCCAGCUUGGUUUUUAUUUAAUGGUCCUCCCAAGUCCAUCUCUACUUUUGUCCUUGGUGGGGGAGGGGCAAAACAGAAAUUAGCCAUAACUCAGGCAGCAUGGGGUGCACAGCCGGUGUUCUCAGGUGCUAGAGCUCUAAGGAGAGGCUGUGACUUAUAGUGAACCACCCCUUACCUUGGCGGGUGAACACUUCCCUCUUCCAGCCCCCAGAUCUGAGGCAGGGCCCCCACGGAUCCUAACGUAACUUGGUGCUGUCAUCUCAAUAGCUUGGUUAAAUGCCACCUCCCGGACAUAGUGUGGCAUGUAAAAGCCCAGUCCAUUAGAACCAGCGGGCUCAGUUCCAGCACUUCAGGUGACUGGAGGCAUCCAUCACUUAACCUAGCCCUGCCUCAAUUUUCAGAGCUAUACAAUGGGGCUAGCAGUAGUACCUUCCUGGGAAGGUAGGUGAAAGAGGUAAAGCAUUCAGAAAAGGCAUGUGCUCAGUAAAUGUCCAUUGUUGCCCCCAUUUGCUGUCCACACAACAGAAGCAACUCUGCUACAGAAUUCUGCAUUUUCUCUAGCGGUACGAAGAGUGUGUUCACAAUUCCUGAUGACUGGUAGACAUCCCAGGGUGAGAAGUAUCUAUAAGACACAGUCAUGUGCACUUCACACCUUGACUCUGGAGAGUGAUCUCUUCCAGGCCCUCUACUACAAUGGUAUUUUCUUUUUCUGUCACCGUCACCCCUCCAACAGCAGAAGUUUCUGGCUCACCCACCGGAGAGGCUAAAGCUUGCCUGGAAUUAUACUGCUUACAGAAUAAAGAGAAGUCAGAGCCUCUUAUGUAACUUGAAGAGUAGGAAAGAUCCAGUGAUAAAAACCAGUGCCCUGAACUUUUGCAAAGCACGAUCAAUCGCUGCGUACGAUCCUCCGGUCCUUGGCAAGAUCAUGAACUGGGAGCUGUGUGGAAAGACAACCGGAUUGGGAGCCAGGGUCCUGCCCUGGGUUUCUUCCAGGUGACCCUACCACCCGUCAGCCGUCUGGUCUUGGGGGAAUAUAAAGAUUUCUCCUGACUUGUGUGAAUUUUUCCAGGGUCCUUUCUUUUGGAAAUGCUACAAGAUGGCUGUGUUUUCAGUGGUGGAAAUUAUCGAUAGGUCUCAAAAGCAAGGAACAGAAUAUCUGCUUUCCAGUAGUGAUGUAUGACUCACCAAAGCCACAACAUUUUUUAUAAUGCCCUUAGUUUUUUUCAUAGAAACAGAACUGAGAUUCCUAAUAUUUCCUGGAAUUUUUUUAAAAAAGGAAGGAAAAAAAGAAUUCAAGGAGAUGUCCAUUUGUUAGCCCGUCACUGGCACGCAUCGGCGUUAAAGAGUAAUUGGUGGGGUGACUGGAAGGCUCCGAGUAGAAUUCUCUGAAGGGGCAUGCCUGUGUUGGCAGGGGAUGCUGGCUGUUGGCUGGGACUGCAGUUCAAUGGGGGUCAUUUGUCUCUCCAAGGUUCUGCAGGAAGGUGUGGGACUGGAAUAUUAAUGUGGCCAUUUUUGGAAAAGACAACCUGCUCCAAGAAAUUCUCACCUUUUCCAUGUCAUCUGUACCAGCUGUAGCUGCAGAGAAAAUGUGAAAAGUGAGCCAGAUUCUCUCAGCUGCCCAGCUGCACCUUCCAGGCCUUUCUCCUGUCUUGUCUCCACAUAGCUACGUGAAUGAACUGAUCUCGCACCUCCAUGGCUGUAGGAUCUUCUGCAGCGUCCCAUCACAUUCAGGAUAAUAACUUUCCAGGAGAGAAACUAAGAGCUCUGAUUGAGCUGCUCGCCCAAAGCCGGUACCGAUUUACUAGUCAUACAAGGGAGCCAUCUUGGAAGCAAAUCCUCCAGCCCUCAGUUAAUCACCAGCAACCACCAACUACCUCCAGCUAAUACUGCAUGGAGCAGAGACAAGCCUUACCCCACUGAGCCCUGCCCAAAUUAAAGAUUUAUGAGGAAAAAAAAUUACUGCUGUUUUAAACCCAUUUUAACUAAAACAUGACUUUGAUCCUAAAGCAUGAGAUCCUCUGUACCCAUCUAUCAUUGAACUAUGCUAUAUUGUGUUACAAGUUAUUUUUUAAUGUGUUUGGAUAUUAUCCUCUUGGAGACAGGUAUUUUGUACUACAUUUGUUGAGUUCUCGCACAGUGACUUUUUAGGCAGUAGAUACUCUAUAAAUAUUUCCUGGUUAAUUAAAUCCAAGACUAUGUGUUCUAUGAGAUAAAAUUGCUUCUUAUUGUGCCAGCUCUGCAAACAUGAGAGAGGGUGCAGAGAAGACAUCCUGAAACCCACCCAGACUCUGGGUAGAUAACUGACAUUUAAGAUACUAAAAUAUGUGUAUCAUAGAAAAUGCAUAUAACCACCCAUUCUUCAAUCUUCUAAAGUGCUUAUUUAAUGCUCUUUUGGAAUUUGGUAUCCAUAUCUUGGGAUUUCUUUAAAAAGUCAACCUACAUUAGAGCCUUAUCACUCAACCUAUUUUUUUUAUUAAUGAGUUACAACAGAAAUGACGUUUGCAGUUAAUGAGCUACACAUAAUCUAUCUGUGAAUAAAAGCCACCACUAAUGGGCAAAUUAAUUAGACUUCAGGUUUCUUCUCUUUGUUUUUACACUACUUUGUUUACCCUAAUACAUUUCAUCGAAAUAUCAUUAGACAUAACUUCUGGAAUGGCAGUAUGAGGAGCUCUGAAGUCUCAGUUCCUAACAAAACAACCUGAACUAGUAAAAACCAAAACACCAACAACUAUUUAAAAUCUCUAUGCAGUGCCUAAGAGAGUACAAUAAAUGAAGAAGCAUUUAUUCAACAAAAUGUAAUAAACUGUGGUAAGAACAAGUGAGAGCCUAUGUCACUUGAGUCAUGAUCUACUCCAUCCCUUACCCUUCCCCCCAACUCAGCAUGCUUGAGGUUCUGUUCCAGAGAGGGGUCCCUCUCCCCCAAGCUACCAGUCAAGUGCUAUUUCUCCCUGGGAUGGACAUAUGCCAACAUUUCUCAUCCUCUCCAGCUGCCUGUUGUGAAACUAAUUUCUAAACAAGGGUGACCAAGAGGUCAGGGGAUCCCUUCCUCCCUCUAGCCCCACUGUUAGUCCCACUGGUUCUACUCCAAGCAAAGGUAGCUGAAAAUACUAGAUCCAAUUAUCAUCACCACAGUUUGCUCAUACAGAGGAUAUUCCACACUGGGAGAGGCAAGUUAGGAAGACCAGAGGCUACUGCUCCUGCCCAGUGCCCUGCUCAUUAGAGGAAAAAUGGUGCUCCAAGAGAAGUGGGUCAUUGUCUCUGCUCCCACACCCAAAGCAGUUUAACUCUGAGAUUUUUUUGCAUAGACAGAGGCAAAAAGAAGAAAAGAUGUAGAAGCUCUUACCAGACCAACUACAUGCAUUUGGAAUACAAUGUAAGUUUAAUCCUAAGAGAUUCUCAAAGAACAAUGAUGAUUUGGGGGUAGACAAUUAAGAGGAGGCUGAUAUCUCUAUGAAAGCAACAAGGAAAAACUUUAAGCCAACUAGAUUACCAGAGAAAAUCAGGUAAAGAGAUAACUGCUAAGAUGAGCCCUUCUGGAGUCAGAAAAAACCUCCAAGACUAGCUCUGUAAAAGGUCCCAAAUUAGUUGGAUCAGACUGUGGAGCAAUGUAUGUAUAAGGACAUUAUCAAAAACCAUAGAGUAAUCAGCCAGCAGUAAGGGGAGCCUAAUUAAGCUGGACGUGAUACCAACAGACAAAACGGACUUAGCAACGAGAUCAGGAAAAUAGCCAAAGAGAACCCUGCUAAAACUGGUUAUCCAAAGGUGACUGUGCCCACGCCCAAGGCUGCAAGUUCUCAAGAAUGACAUCACAGGCCUCAUGCCACAUGGGAAAUUUCACUGAAGUUCUCCAGCCAAGUUACUAAACAAAUAAGCAAAUAACAACAACAAAUCUGAGAGAUGAGAGAUGAGAAAUCAGUAUCCAUAGUUGCUACAAUAUAUUACCACAAAUGUUCAGUUUUCAGUAACAACAAAAAAUUAUGAGACAUGCACAGAUGCAGGCCAGUGUGACCAAUACAGGGGGUAAGGGCAAACAGGCAACAAGGACCGCCUCUAAGAGGGCCCAGAUAACAGACCUAAAACAAGUUUAUAGCAGCCACUAUACUAUGCUCAAAGAACUAAUGGAAACCAUGCUUUCAAAAAUAAGUAUAAUCAUAAUGCCUCA
Long non-coding RNA from Herpailurus yagouaroundi (jaguarundi), 4961 nucleotides. RefSeq lists it as uncharacterized. Lineage: Eukaryota; Metazoa; Chordata; Mammalia; Carnivora; Felidae. The record is from RefSeq and is a predicted model, not a curated record. The transcript has 7 exons.